AUGCUAUUAGCUAUUCUGUUGAUUCUUCUCCAAACAGGAACCACCGAUUUACAAAUUUUAUUAACCACUGAAUUUAGUGAGCGGCGCCUUCUAUGGAUUGCUUUUUUCGCCUCUUUUGCCAUCAAAGUGCCUAUGGUACCAGUUCAUAUUUGGUUACCCGAAGCCCAUGUAGAGGCACCUACGGCUGGAUCCAUCAUCUUGGCUAGAAUUCUUUUAAAAUUGGGAACCUACGGGUUUUUAAGAUCUUCAAUACCCAUGUUUCCCGAAGCGACACUUUGUUUCACUCCUUUCAUUUAUACUCUAAGCGCGAUUGCUAUAAUAUAUACUUCCUUGACCACUUUAAGACAGAUCGAUCUUAAGAAGAUCAUUGCCUACUCCUCAGUAGCCCAUAUGAAUUUGGUGACUAUUGGUAUGUUUAGUCGGGCGGCGGCCGUUAGGUCACCUAUUUUGAGUUAUGGACACACAAGCAAGGCCAAAACAUGUGUGCCGGGCGUGUGGCCCAUCAACCUACUAGCAAUAGGGGAGAAAACUUAG
This 534-nucleotide ribosomal RNA is filed under the name Triticum aestivum (bread wheat). RNAcentral describes it as "partial small subunit ribosomal RNA". Lineage: Eukaryota; Viridiplantae; Streptophyta; Magnoliopsida; Poales; Poaceae. The record is from RNAcentral.